CGACUCCACGGACGCGACUUCUCUUAACCUCCUAUGAAUCUCGCGCAAUCCUCCGGAUUGUCCACGCCCUCAUGCUCGAAUCCACGAACACCACGCACACGUUCGAAUCCAUGAAAGCCACUUGAAUCUACGAGCUCUCGAUCCGAAUCCUCGAACCGCCUUCAAUCAUGCCAAAUCCAUGAAGCCGUCCAUGAAGAAUAUCAUGAUUAUGGUGAUCC
RNAcentral lists this long non-coding RNA (218 nucleotides) under Ananas comosus (pineapple). Its description in RNAcentral is "long non-coding RNA (ACOM_LNC044305)". Lineage: Eukaryota; Viridiplantae; Streptophyta; Magnoliopsida; Poales; Bromeliaceae. The record is from RNAcentral.